Molecule: ribosomal RNA, 468 nt
Filed under: uncultured bacterium
Lineage: Bacteria
Description: partial 16S ribosomal RNA
Rfam family: Bacterial small subunit ribosomal RNA
Source: RNAcentral
GACGAACGCUGGCGGCGUGCUUAACACAUGCAAGUCGAACGGAAAGGCCCUGCUUUUGUGGGGUGCUCGAGUGGCGAACGGGUGAGUAACACGUGAGUAACCUGCCCUUGACUUUGGGAUAACUUCAGGAAACUGGGGCUAAUACCGGAUAGGAGCUCCUGCUGCAUGGUGGGGGUUGGAAAGUUUCGGCGGUUGGGGAUGGACUCGCGGCUUAUCAGCUUGUUGGUGGGGUAGUGGCUUACCAAGGCUUUGACGGGUAGCCGGCCUGGGAGGGUGACCGGCCACAUUGGGACUGAGAUACGGCCCAGACUCCUACGGGAGGCAGCAGUGGGGAAUAUUGCACAAUGGGCGGAAGCCUGAUGCAGCAACGCCGCGUGCGGGAUGACGGCCUUCGGGUUGUAAACCGCUUUCGCCUGUGACGAAGCGUGAGUGACGGUAAUGGGUAAAGAAGCAUCGGCUAACUACGUG